AACAUGCCCGCGUUAGCGAUUGCAGUGGUUAGCUUUUGCCGUGAGGCUAGAGUUGUGGGAAGGCAAAACUAUGAACGUAAAGCGCGACCCGCA
This 93-nucleotide small RNA is filed under the name Jejuia pallidilutea. Its description in RNAcentral is "Flavo-1 RNA". The record is from RNAcentral. Lineage: Bacteria; Pseudomonadati; Bacteroidota; Flavobacteriia; Flavobacteriales; Flavobacteriaceae.